This 30-nucleotide non-coding RNA is filed under the name Homo sapiens (human). Lineage: Eukaryota; Metazoa; Chordata; Mammalia; Primates; Hominidae. The record is from RNAcentral.
UGACACCAUACAGAGAACCUGGGCACCUGC